UUAGUGUCGUCUCUUACUUUGGUUUUCACUUUUACUGUACUUCCUACUGCUUCUAAACUAAAAUGCCCGUGUUAGCCUUAGCUGAUGCAUGGCCAGGAAGAAAUUAAAAUUCAUACUGCAGUCUUCUGAAGAGUAACAUGCCGUAGUAAUUGUCAUUUCUUAUGAAGUGCCACCUUUUACCAAGAGCCUCCACUUCAAAUGCAAAAGGUUGCUUUAAACACUCCAAGGACAUUAACAUAAUGAACAUGCUGCUUGUUUUGAAGACAAAGGUGUGGAACAAUUUAUUAGUUAAGGAUUCAGUUCAGUGUCUGCAAUCAAAAGGUGCCUCAUCUAGUCCAGAUUCUGGCCCUUGCUGAUAUUUUCUAGAUGAAAAUGUUCCAUUUCUUAAAGGCUGCUCAGACCUCUUGUCUUUGCAAAAUACACCCAAGAGCAGAAG
Hirundo rustica (Barn swallow) is the source of this 436-nucleotide long non-coding RNA. RefSeq lists it as uncharacterized. The record is from RefSeq and is a predicted model, not a curated record. Lineage: Eukaryota; Metazoa; Chordata; Aves; Passeriformes; Hirundinidae. The transcript has 3 exons.